UAGGGAAUCUUCCGCAAUGGACGAAAGUCUGACGGAGCAACGCCGCGUGAGUGAAGAAGGAUUUCGGUUCGUAAAACUCUGUUGUUAGGGAAGAAAAAAUGUAUAGUAACUAUAUACAAAAGAGACGGUACCUAACCAGAAAGACACGGCUAACUACGUGCCAGCAGCCGCGGUAAUACGUAGGUGGCAAGCGUUGUCCGGAAUUAUUGGGCGUAAAGCGCGCGAAGUUGGUUUAGAAAGUCUGAUGUGAAAGCCCACGGCUCAACCGUGGAGGGUCAUUGGAAACUAAUAAACUUGAGUGCAGGAGAGAAAAGUGGAAUUCCUAGUGUAGCGGUGAAAUGCGUAGAGAUUAGGAGGAACACCGGUGGCGAAAUCGGCUUUUUGGCCUGCAACUGACACUGAGGCGCGAAAGCGUGGGGAGCAAACAGG
RNAcentral lists this ribosomal RNA (429 nucleotides) under Verrucomicrobiota bacterium. RNAcentral's name for it is "Verrucomicrobia bacterium partial 16S ribosomal RNA". It matches the Rfam family "Bacterial small subunit ribosomal RNA", at positions 355 to 776 of the family's 1533-position model. Lineage: Bacteria; Pseudomonadati; Verrucomicrobiota. The record is from RNAcentral.